Molecule: long non-coding RNA, 1050 nt
Filed under: Mytilus galloprovincialis (Mediterranean mussel)
Lineage: Eukaryota; Metazoa; Mollusca; Bivalvia; Mytilida; Mytilidae
Source: RNAcentral
UUAGCACUUCAUACAAUUAGUAAGGACUACAUCAUAAAUAAAUAUAGAAAUGCAAAUGAUGUUAAAAUCCUCACAAGCGUGUUAGAAAUUGAUAAAUUAGAGGAAACAACUUAUUUUGUAGAAAAGGAGUACAUUGAACUAUGUAUGAAAGGGUACGCAAUACCGGAAGAGAGAUAAGGGAAUGAAUUUCUUGCUAAGUUUAAAUGUGUCUGUUUUUCACACUUUCGGCAGAAGAUCAUUUUAUCAGCCAGAUGAUAUUGAUUGGUCGUUAGGUAAGAUAUUCUUCUCUUACUUUGCAAUUGCCCGCAAACUUUUGUAUAUGACAAACUUGAACGACAAUCAUCUACCUAAUACAAAAUCAAUGACACAAUAUGAAAAAAGUGAGAGUGUGCAGUUUAACGGCCUAUUUACCUGUUUAACUGAAAGAAACGAAAUGCAGUCCGUUUUGAGUUUUUUUGGUAGAAAGAAAAAUCUUGUUAAAGCGGCUUCUUUAAAGGAUAUCAUAAGUACUUGCAAAAAGAGGUUCAAUGAAAACUGACUAUUUAGAAUUUGGAAUAUUGAAGGUUUUAUGCGCCAAAAAUGACCAUGCAAAAUAUUUGUCAGCGAAGAUGAUUAUUAAUUACUAUAAAGAUUUAUUCCUAAUUGAACAGACCGAGGAAUUACGUGCAGAUGCCACACAAUGGGGUCAGAGUAUUACACACAUGAUAGCAACCAACCAAAGGAUUUUCCCUAGUCUUGAAUACUCCAUAGGAAACCUUUAGUUUGCCGUCGGUGAUAUCCUACAGGCCAAAAAUGUUUUUAUGCAUUACUCCCAAAGAUAGACAAGAACAACAAAUGUGACAAACAAGAUUUAAGAUAUUUUCCAUAAAAAAGCUUGUGUAAGCUAUAUAAAGUGUCGCUUGAAAAGAUUGGAACGAAAGGAUGGAUCCUGCAAGGAAGAAACAUUACGGACGUUAAAAUGUUUAGAAAACUUUAUUGCAAACAUGUAAAGCAGAGUUUAAAGAACUUGAGCUACUGACACUUACAUUAACAAAAGGUUAAUUUUAAAAC